This 468-nucleotide ribosomal RNA is filed under the name uncultured bacterium. Its description in RNAcentral is "partial 16S ribosomal RNA". It matches the Rfam family "Bacterial small subunit ribosomal RNA", at positions 28 to 507 of the family's 1533-position model. The record is from RNAcentral.
GACGAACGCUGGCGGCGUGCUUAACACAUGCAAGUCGAACGGAAAGGCCCUGCUUUUGUGGGGUGCUCGAGUGGCGAACGGGUGAGUAACACGUGAGUAACCUGCCCUUGACUUUGGGAUAACUUCAGGAAACUGGGGCUAAUACCGGAUAGGAGCUCCUGCUGCAUGGUGGGGGUUGGAAAGUUUCGGCGGUUGGGGAUGGACUCGCGGCUUAUCAGCUUGUUGGUGGGGUAGUGGCUUACCAAGGCUUUGACGGGUAGCCGGACUGAGAGGGUGACCGGCAACAUUGGGACUGAGAUACGGCCAAGACUCCUACGGGAGGGAGAAGUGGGGAAGAUGGAAAAAUGGGCGGAAGCAUGAUGCAGCAACGCCGAGUGCGGGAUGACGGCCUUCGGGUUGUAAACCGAUUGCGCCUGUGACGAAGCGGGAGUGACGGUAAUGGGUAAAGAAGCACCGGCUAACUACGUG